RNAcentral lists this ribosomal RNA (1023 nucleotides) under Venturia inaequalis. RNAcentral's name for it is "SSU rRNA". It matches the Rfam family "Eukaryotic small subunit ribosomal RNA", at positions 84 to 1117 of the family's 1831-position model. The record is from RNAcentral. Lineage: Eukaryota; Fungi; Ascomycota; Dothideomycetes; Venturiales; Venturiaceae.
AAACUGCGAAUGGCUCAUUAAAUCAGUUAUCGUUUAUUUGAUAGUACCUUACUACUUGGAUAACCGUGGUAAUUCUAGAGCUAAUACAUGCGAAAAACCCCGACUUCGGAAGGGGUGUAUUUAUUAGAUAAAAAACCAAUGCCCUUCGGGGCUUCCUGGUGAUUCAUAAUAACUUAACGAAUCGCAUGGCCUUGCGCCGGCGAUGGUUCAUUCAAAUUUCUGCCCUAUCAACUUUCGAUUGUAGAGUAGUGGUCUACAAUGGUUUCAACGGGUAACGGGGAAUUAGGGUUCGACUCCGGAGAGGGAGCCUGAGAAACGGCUACCACAUCCAAGGAAGGCAGCAGGCGCGCAAAUUACCCAAUCCCGACACGGGGAGGUAGUGACAAUAAAUACUGAUACAGGGCUCUUUUGGGUCUUGUAAUUGGAAUGAGUACAAUUUAAAUCCCUUAACGAGGAACAACUGGAGGGCAAGUCUGGUGCCAGCAGCCGCGGUAAUUCCAGCUCCAGAAGCGUAUAUUAAAGUUGUUGCAGUUAAAAAGCUCGUAGUUGAAUUUUGGGCCUGGCUGGCCGGUCCGCCUCACCGCGUGCACUGGUCCGGCCGGGCCUUUCCUCCUGGGGAUCCGCAUGCCCUUCACUGGGUGUGUUGGGGAACCAGGACUUUUACUUUGAAAAAAUUAGAGUGUUCAAAGCAGGCCUUUGCUCGAAUACAUUAGCAUGGAAUAAUAGAAUAGGACGGCUUUCCUAUUUUGUUGGUUUCUAGGGAAGCCGUAAUGAUUAAUAGGGAUAGUCGGGGGCAUCAGUAUUCAAUUGUCAGAGGUGAAAUUCUUGGAUUUAUUGAAGACUAACUACUGCGAAAGCAUUUGCCAAGGAUGUUUUCAUUAAUCAGUGAACGAAAGUUAGGGGAUCGAAGACGAUCAGAUACCGUCGUAGUCUUAACCAUAAACUAUGCCGACUAGGGAUCGGGCGAUGUUACUAUCUUGACUCGCUCGGCACCUUACGAGAAAUCAAAGUUUUUGGGUCUGG